Long non-coding RNA from Cebus imitator (Panamanian white-faced capuchin), 147 nucleotides. RefSeq lists it as uncharacterized. NCBI's taxonomy places the organism in Eukaryota, Metazoa, Chordata, Mammalia, Primates, Cebidae. The record is from RefSeq and is a predicted model, not a curated record. The transcript has 3 exons.
AUAGGUAAACUUGUGUCAUGGGGAUUUGUUGUACAGAGUAUUUCAUCAUACAGGUUUUAAGUCUAGUACCCAUUAGUUAUUUUUCCUGAUCUUCUCCCUCCUCCUACCCUCCACCUUCUGAUAGGCCCUAGUAUGUGUUCUUCUUUG